Molecule: ribosomal RNA, 491 nt
Filed under: uncultured bacterium
Lineage: Bacteria
Description: partial 16S ribosomal RNA
Rfam family: Bacterial small subunit ribosomal RNA
Source: RNAcentral
AGUGAACGCUGGCGGUAGGCCUAACACAUGCAAGUCGAACGGCAGCACAGUAAGAGCUUGCUCUUACGGGUGGCGAGUGGCGGACGGGUGAGGAAUACAUCGGAAUCUACUUUUUCGUGGGGGAUAACGUAGGGAAACUUACGCUAAUACCGCAUACGACCUACGGGUGAAAGCAGGGGAUCUUCGGACCUUGCGCGAUUGAAUGAGCCGAUGUCGGAUUAGCUAGUUGGCGGGGUAAAGGCCCACCAAGGCGACGAUCCGUAGCUGGUCUGAGAGGAUGAUCAGCCACACUGGAACUGAGACACGGUCCAGCCUCCUACGGGAGGCAGCAGUGGGGAAUAUUGGACAAUGGGCGCAAGCCUGAUCCAGCCAUACCGCGUGGGUGAAGAAGGCCUUCGGGUUGUAAAGCCCUUUUGUUGGGAAAGAAAAGCAGCAGGUUAAUACCCCGCUGCUCUGACGGUACCCAAAGAAUAAGCACCGGCUAACUUCGU